This 494-nucleotide ribosomal RNA is filed under the name Anasaitis hebetatus. RNAcentral's name for it is "Anasaitis hebetata partial 16S ribosomal RNA". The stretch from base 104 to 398 matches the Rfam family "Bacterial large subunit ribosomal RNA", at positions 2074 to 2646 of the family's 2925-position model. Lineage: Eukaryota; Metazoa; Arthropoda; Arachnida; Araneae; Salticidae. The record is from RNAcentral.
UGUCUUUUAAAUGAAGACUAGAACAAAAGAUUUAACAUUUAAUUAUAUUUAUUUAAGCUAAACAUUCUAAUUUAUUCUAAAUGUUAAAAAACAUUUAUAUUUAAGAAAGACGACAAGACCCUAUUGAACUUCACUUUAGUUUAACUGGGGCAGUUAAUUAAAUAUUAUUUUAAUAUCAUUACAAUAAUAAGUACCUAACACAAUUAUAUAAUUCAGUUACCAUAGGGAUAACAGUGCAAUUAUAUUUUAAAGCCCUUAUUUAAAAAAUAGAUUACAACCUCGAUGUUGAAUUAAUCACCUAUUCAAAGCAAAUUUUGAAAAAGGAAGUCUGUUCGACUUUUAAAUAAUUACAUGAUUUGAGUUCAGACCGGUAUAAGCCAGGUCGGUUUCUAUCUUCUUAAAAUAUUCUUACAGUACGAAAGGACCUAAGAAACUAAUUAUAUUAGUAAAUUGGCAGAUCAAUGCAUUAGAAUUAGAAUCUAAUUAAACUAAUA